GAAAGGCCGCGGUAUCCUAACUGUGCAAAGGUAGCAUAAUCAAUAGUUUUUUAAUUGAAGGCUUGUAUGAAGGGUUGGACAAAGAAUAAUCUGUUUUUAUUUUUUUUUUUGAAUUUAACUUUUAAGUGAAAAGGCUUAAAUAAAUUUAAGGGACGAUAAGACCCUAUAAAUCUUUAUAUUAUUUUGUUUUUUAGUAAAUAAUAAAGUAAAUAGUUUAAUAAAACAAAAAAUAUUUUGUUGGGGUGAUGAAAAUAUAAUUAUUAACUGUUUUAAAAUUUAAACAAAGUUGUUUGGUAGAAAUAAUAGAUCCUUUAUAUAGAUAAAAAAUUUAAGUUACUUUAGGGAUAACAGCGUUAUUUUUUUUGAGAGUUCAUAUCGAAAAAAAAGUUUGCGACCUCGAUGUUGAAUUAAAAGUUCUUUGUGGGGCAGGGGCCACAAAAGAAAGCGUCCGACUUUUAAAAUUUUNCGNGANCUGAG
This 477-nucleotide ribosomal RNA is filed under the name Sadayoshia sp. KES-2008. RNAcentral describes it as "partial 16S ribosomal RNA". It matches the Rfam family "Bacterial large subunit ribosomal RNA", at positions 1925 to 2609 of the family's 2925-position model. Lineage: Eukaryota; Metazoa; Arthropoda; Malacostraca; Decapoda; Munididae. The record is from RNAcentral.